Molecule: transfer RNA, 74 nt
Filed under: Phocaeicola plebeius
Lineage: Bacteria; Pseudomonadati; Bacteroidota; Bacteroidia; Bacteroidales; Bacteroidaceae
Also listed under: 1 other name
Description: tRNA-OTHER
Rfam family: tRNA
About the family: Transfer RNA (tRNA) molecules are approximately 80 nucleotides in length. Their secondary structure includes four short double-helical elements and three loops (D, anti-codon, and T loops). Further hydrogen bonds mediate the characteristic L-shaped molecular structure. tRNAs have two regions of fundamental functional importance: the anti-codon, which is responsible for specific mRNA codon recognition, and the 3' end, to which the tRNAs corresponding amino acid is attached (by aminoacyl-tRNA synthetases). tRNAs cope with the degeneracy of the genetic code in two manners: having more than one tRNA (with a specific anti-codon) for a particular amino acid; and 'wobble' base-pairing, i.e. permitting non-standard base-pairing at the 3rd anti-codon position.
Source: RNAcentral
UGGCAGAUAGUUUAGGUGGUAGAACAUCUUGCAGCGUUACCAAGAAGUCACGGGUUCAAGUCCCGUUCUGCCAG